CAGAGAGUAGUUUAAUUAAAAUAUUAAUUUUGGAGAUUGAUGAUAAAGGUUAUUUCUUUUUCUCUGA
This 67-nucleotide transfer RNA is filed under the name Rhaphidophora quadrispina. RNAcentral's name for it is "tRNA-Pro". Lineage: Eukaryota; Metazoa; Arthropoda; Insecta; Orthoptera; Rhaphidophoridae. The record is from RNAcentral.